Non-coding RNA from Acanthosepion pharaonis, 90 nucleotides. NCBI's taxonomy places the organism in Eukaryota, Metazoa, Mollusca, Cephalopoda, Sepiida, Sepiidae. The record is from the annotation of a GenBank genome assembly.
CGAGUUCCCGUACGAUCACUGAAGUUAAGCAACGUCCAGCCUGGUCAGUACCUAGAUGGGUAACCACUUAGGAAUACCAGGUGCUGCAAG